RNAcentral lists this ribosomal RNA (492 nucleotides) under uncultured bacterium. RNAcentral's name for it is "partial 16S ribosomal RNA". It matches the Rfam family "Bacterial small subunit ribosomal RNA", at positions 29 to 507 of the family's 1533-position model. The record is from RNAcentral.
AGUGAACGCUGGCGGUAGGCCUAACACAUGCAAGUCGAACGGCAGCACAGUAAGAGCUUGCUCUUACGGGUGGCGAGUGGCGGACGGGUGAGGAAUACAUCGGAAUCUACUUUUUCGUGGGGGAUAACGUAGGGAAACUUACGCUAAUACCGCAUACGACCUACGGGUGAAAGCAGGGGAUCUUCGGACCUUGCGCGAUUGAAUGAGCCGAUGUCGGAUUAGCUAGUUGGCGGGGUAAAGGCCCACCAAGGCGACGAUCCGUAGCUGGUCUGAGAGGAUGAUCAGCCGCACUGGAACUGAGACACGGUCCAGACUCCUACGGGAGGCAGCAGUGGGGAAUAUUGGACAAUGGGCGCAAGCCUGAUCCAGCCAUACCGCGUGGGUGAAGAAGGCCUUCGGGUUGUAAAGCCCUUUUGUUGGGAAAGAAAAGCAGCUGGUUAAUACCCCGCUGUUCUGACGGUACCCAAAGAAUAAGCACCGGCUAACUUCGUG